UACGGAAGGCAGCAGUGGGGGAAUAUUGCACAAUGGGCGCAAGCCUGAUGCAGCCAUGCCGCGUGUAUGAAGAAGGCCUUCGGGUUGUAAAGUACUUUCAGUCGUGAGGAAGGUGUUAAGGUUAAUAACCUUAGCAAUUGACGUUAGCGACAGAAGAAGCACCGGCUAACUCCGUGCCAGCAGCCGCGGUAAUACGGAGGGUGCGAGCGUUAAUCGGAAUUACUGGGCGUAAAGGGCACGCAGGCGGUUAAUUAAGUUGGAUGUGAAAUCCCCGGGCUUAACCUGGGAAUGGCAUUCAAGACUGGUUAGCUAGAGUCUUGUAGAGGGGGUAGAAUUCCGAUGUGUAGCGGUGAAAUGCGUAGAGAUGUGGAGGAAUACCGGUGGCGAAGGCGGCCCCUGGACAAAGACUGACGCUCAUGUGCGAAAGCGUGGGGAGCAA
This 439-nucleotide ribosomal RNA is filed under the name uncultured bacterium. Its description in RNAcentral is "bacterial SSU rRNA". It matches the Rfam family "Bacterial small subunit ribosomal RNA", at positions 340 to 771 of the family's 1533-position model. The record is from RNAcentral.